GUGUUUGUUGAAAGGAGAGACAGUUGACAUUUCCCCUAAUAGGGACGGGAACGCCUUCGGGCUUGCCUGUUACCACACAUGGUUAAGGCCACCCGCUUCGGCGGAUCUUACCUAAUUUUUCU
Small nuclear RNA from Dioscorea cayenensis subsp. rotundata (Guinea yam), 122 nucleotides. The record is from RefSeq and is a predicted model, not a curated record. Lineage: Eukaryota; Viridiplantae; Streptophyta; Magnoliopsida; Dioscoreales; Dioscoreaceae.